CUGUUUAUCAAAAACAUGGCCCUUUGAGCUUAUAUUAUAAAGGGUCUGGCCUGCCCGGUGGGUUUCUAAACGGUCGCAGCUAAUACUGUGCUAAGGUAGCGUAAUAAGUUGUCCUUUAAUUGGGGAAAAGAAUGAAUGGUCGGAUGAUGGGGGGGCUUUAUUUAAAGCAGUAUUUUGAAUUUUUCUUCUAGGUGCAAAGGCUUAGAUGAGUAUACUAGACGAGAAGACCCUGUUGAGCUUGGUAAACUACAGCUGUUUAAGUUGAUAGUUAUGUUUGUUUGGGGCCGGACGGAAGGGAAAUUUAUGCCUUCUUAAUUCUGUAAGGAUCCAGCAAGGUUGAUUAGAGGAAGAUAGUUACCACAGGGAUAACAGCGCAAUCUCUUUGUAAAGGUCAUAUUAAAGAAGGGGUUUGCGACCUCGAUGUUGAAAUCAUAAUUUCUACUGGGUGUAGCAGCUUGGUAAGUAGGACUGUUCGUCCUUUAAAAUUAUACGUGAUCUGAGUUCAGAC
Molecule: ribosomal RNA, 508 nt
Filed under: Hiatula petalina
Lineage: Eukaryota; Metazoa; Mollusca; Bivalvia; Cardiida; Psammobiidae
Description: Soletellina petalina partial 16S ribosomal RNA
Rfam family: Bacterial large subunit ribosomal RNA
Source: RNAcentral